AAUACGUUCCCGGGCCUUGUACACACCGCCCGUCACACCACGAAAGUCGGCAACACCCGAAGCCGGUGGCCCAACCCUUGGGGAGGGAGCCGUCGAAGGUGGGGUCGGUGAUUGGGGUG
This 119-nucleotide ribosomal RNA is filed under the name uncultured bacterium. RNAcentral's name for it is "partial 16S ribosomal RNA". It matches the Rfam family "Bacterial small subunit ribosomal RNA", at positions 1365 to 1482 of the family's 1533-position model. The record is from RNAcentral.